CUCUCCAGUGUCGUGGGGUUUAGACUGCAGAUAGACGAAGCUUCAGUCCUGUGGAAGGCUAGUUGCAGUAACAUCUCUAAAGAUGGAGGGGCUUAGAUAAGCCCAUGCAACAGAGAGAGCAGAUACCACAAGUCCUGGAGAGCAAGAUGGUCUUCAAUGACACUCUCCUUGUCUGACAGCUCUCAGACAAGGGGACAGACCUGCUUGAAAUCAUGCCCAUUCACUGACAAAGCUUUAACUACCUUUCUCAGCAUGUACUGAGAUUGAAGACUCCUGACCAGAAUUUAGCCAAAGAUGACCAGAGGGCAGAUGGGUAUCACCCUGAAUACAGGACCUGGCCUGGAUUUUAUACUCAGGAAGAUGAAUUCAAAUGUGGCCUCAAACACUUAUUGUGUGACACGAAGGAAGUUAUUUAAGCUGAUUUGCCUCAAUUUCCUCAUCUAUAAAAUGAGCUGGAGAAGGAAAUGGCGAACCACAUCUGUAUUUUAAAUGAAGGGUUGGGGACAACUGAAAUGAUUAAACCACAUCAGCAAGGCUGUUAUAACCUGCAGAAAAGCUCAUGGGGAAUAGUGGGGAAAUGGAGUGUGGUCACAAGAACCUGUUAUGGUCCAGUGAAUUCUGGGAAAUAUAUAGAUCAUCUCUCAGAAGUAUUUUUGAGGAUUUUUUCUUUUUUGGAGGGGAUAGAGUUAGGGGGAGAAGAAAAACCAGUGGAGGAAGCUGAAGCAAAUAAAGGCAAAGUGACUUACCCAAGACCUCACAACUAGUAAUUGAGCCAAAA
Antechinus flavipes (yellow-footed antechinus) is the source of this 778-nucleotide long non-coding RNA. RefSeq lists it as uncharacterized. The transcript has 2 exons. The record is from RefSeq and is a predicted model, not a curated record. Lineage: Eukaryota; Metazoa; Chordata; Mammalia; Dasyuromorphia; Dasyuridae.